CGCUCUUCAAGGAGGAGGAAACAAGCGUGCAAGAGACAUUUAUCUUAAAGAAUGGGAUGCACAGCGUCAGUCUGCCCCUGAUGGCAGUAAUGUUGACAGGCUUCGAGACUAUAUUAAACAUGUGUAUGUGGAUAGAAGAUACACUGGUGAGAGGAACUAUGGAAAACCUCCAAGUGUAAAGUUGGGUGACAAAGAGGACUCAUACCAAGGAGGGUCUCGAAGUCCACCAUAUGACGAUACAUAUGAGCGCCGCUACAGUGGAAUGUCCAGUCCUGGUGGACGAAGUGAUGAUAGGAAUUCUAGAUAUGCAUAUGAUGAAAGAAGAAGUCCUGGAUAUGAUCAAGAAAGUCGACAGUAUAAUGAUUACAGGAGAAGUCCUGCUCGUGCUGAGAUAGUUAAUGAUUGGCGAAGGGAGGAUAGAUUUGGAAAUGGAAAGAGAGCUGACGACCGUAGAGUAUCUGAAGGAGACUCAAAGCUGGAAAGCAGGUCACCUGAACCGCCGAAAGAUCCAGAGGUUUCUAGUCCCCCUGUUGUACGCCCUGUUAGAGAAAUUUUGGGAGAUAAUGUGAUGCCUCUUCGUAUAAGUGAACCUCCCAAAACCAAUGUUGUAAGGGCUGCUGAUGGCUCUGCACAGACACAGGGAAAUGCAUCUGCUAGCAGCUUAGGUUCCACCAAUGGGAAUCUGACGGAAGUUAAAGCGGAGAGUACUGCAAGCUUAAUUGAUUUUGAUGCUGAUCCAGAACCACCUGUUACCACUGCAGUUCCUCAAGCACAACAAACAAUUGUGUCUCAAUCAAUUACACAACCUGCAAGUACAACAAGUGAUAACAAUUGGGCUUCUUUUGAUUUUGCACCUGAGGUUAAGGUAUCUCAAGAAAAUGCGAAUCCACUGGAAUCUGUUAUCUCACAAUUGGUGCUGCCAGCAUCAGUACCUGGUCAAAUAUCUGGAAUGUCAAGCGUUUCUGGUGCUCCAGUAGCUGCAUCUUUAGGCAAUGUAUCAAAUUUACCAAAUGCAACUGCUUCUUCUGCUGUGUCAGCUGGGAAUGCACCUAUAUUGCCUCUCAAUACUGGUGCUACAAUUUUUCAUCCUGGUGGUGUUUCAGUGGCUGCCCCUGGUUUGGCAGCUGUAAUGCCUGUCAAUGGUGGUCCUUCCUUUGUCAAAGUUAAUGAAACAGGCCAAUGGCCUAGAGUGCAGCAUCAGCAACCUUUUCUAUUCCCUGCUUCUAGUGUUCAGUCUACUUCUCAACAAUUUAAACCACCACUUGAUGGCACUUCAGCUAAUCAGUCAUGGAAUUUAUCAGUGGCCCCUAAUAUGCAAGCGGCUUUGAGUAAACCAUCUGUUGGAGCCCCUCGAGUCAUCUCUACACCUUCCUUAGUGGUUGCUUCUGCUGGUGUAUCACAGCCACCAGCUGUGGAAGUCAAAUCAAGCGGAAGAAAAGAACUGCCUGAGGAUCUUUUUGCUGCAACCUAUCCAUCUUUCCAUGCAGCUGUUCCAGGGUGGCAAACUGGUCCUCCCCGUGGUAUGGGGUUCGCUAUGCGAUAUAGUAAUGCUGCAGUGCCGAUGCCUACUUUGAUUCAGCAAUCCAAGUCAACAAACCCAUUUGAUCUCAAUGAGCCAUCUUCAAUGCAAGUUCAUACUUUUCCUUCCAUGGCAUCCUUGCGAGGUGCUCUCCCAAAUAUGCCACCAUCUUCAGGCUUACAGCGCACCUCUAGUCUUGGUGCUCCAUCAUCAGCAUGGAUGCCUUCUCAGUCAUUGCCUUACCCAUCAGCUCUGCCUCCCCAGCCACCGUCUUAUGCAUCAGCUAUGCCUCCAAGGGCAUACAUGGGACAAGUAUCAAGUAACAUGCCAAUUUCUGGGCUGCAAG
This 1865-nucleotide unclassified non-coding RNA is filed under the name Hevea brasiliensis (rubber tree). Lineage: Eukaryota; Viridiplantae; Streptophyta; Magnoliopsida; Malpighiales; Euphorbiaceae. The record is from RNAcentral.